Molecule: non-coding RNA, 209 nt
Organism: Cinara cedri
Lineage: Eukaryota; Metazoa; Arthropoda; Insecta; Hemiptera; Aphididae
Source: the annotation of a GenBank genome assembly
UACAGGGGAUAAAUAAUUUAUGACUGUGUUAAAGUAAAGCUUAAAACAAUACCAUCAUGAUUUGAAAAAAAAGACCAUGUUCGCUGGAUCGUAAUAAAGAAGUCACCUUGUGAACUAUUAUCCGGAACAGUAAAAUAACAGGGCAUAAUAUUUUAGGUACCUAAGAGCGCCAAUAUCUAGGAAAAUUCAGAAGGGUAAAAUGAAAGGGG